Long non-coding RNA from Aedes aegypti (yellow fever mosquito), 723 nucleotides. RefSeq lists it as uncharacterized. The record is from RefSeq and is a predicted model, not a curated record. The transcript has 3 exons. NCBI's taxonomy places the organism in Eukaryota, Metazoa, Arthropoda, Insecta, Diptera, Culicidae.
AAAAAAAAUUGCAAAACAGGUUUUCACAGUUCUGUCGAUGUAAAUCGAUAGAGGAUUAGACAAACAAGUAAUUUGUAUUUGUAUCCCGCAUAAAUAUUUACCGUACAUGAUACGGUGUCGAACAUAAUGCGAAUACAGAUACUAAUGUUACCCAUUAGCGGUAUGUUCGCAAUACUUUCCAUUUGAAAUGGUAGAAUAAUAGCAUUGGCAUUAGUUCGUAAGGUUACCACAAUGGGUAUGGUCUUCCAACAUUGAAACCAUUCAAGCUCUGUGUAACUGUUUACGAACAUAUUGGUACCAUAUUGGUUGAGGUGCCUGACGGAAGGUAAAUAAAAAGCAAAGUGUUUGCUUUUCAAAAGAAUUUCUUCGCGAUUUUCCGCAAACAAUUCGUUUACAUUUGGACCCUAUACGGAUGGAAAAGUGGUGCAAGGCCUAACAGUAAUCAGACCGUAUCCUUCGGGGGAAAUUUUCAGCGGCAUCUGCCAAGUAGAUUGUGUUUCAAACUCAUGAGUUUCAUACAUGCCUGGAUUUAUUACUGCAGUAGUAUGACGGGAUUACAGAGUCUUAUCAGAACUACAGAUUAUGAGCGGAAAGUUGUUUGGAUGGAGUUGGUUAUGCUAUCUACAAAUUCAUAACGUUUUACUUUUAUUUUUAGCUUUUCAGUUAUGGAAGUUUUUAUAAGAAUAUUUAUUUAUGCCAAUAAAUAAUAUGUAAACUAAACAA